Molecule: long non-coding RNA, 5668 nt
Filed under: Sus scrofa (pig)
Lineage: Eukaryota; Metazoa; Chordata; Mammalia; Artiodactyla; Suidae
Description: lncRNA (ENSSSCG00060029844.1)
Source: RNAcentral
GUGGGGUGAGGGACAAGGUGAAGGAUUUUUACUAUUUCAUUAGAAGAUCCAGUAAAAUUUACUCAACUAUCUGCUGAUUUCUCCUUAUUAUUCCUAUGAUUUUUACUUAUAAAAAGAGUUUGGGGUGUUCCCGGGUGGCACAGUUGGUUAAGGAUCCAGUGUGCAGGCUGUGGCGCAGGUUUCACCUACUGUGUGGGUUCAUCCCUGGCUGGGAACUUCCACGUGCUGCAGGUGCAGAUAAAAAAGUUCAUAAUUGUGUAAUAUGUAGUCAUAUGUAGGAAAAGGUUAUAGAAAAGAGGAUAGAUACCAUUGUGGUUAAAAAAAAAAAAGGAAAUAACACAUAGUGAGUAAUUUGUCUCUUUUGAAGUCAAGAAAAUAUCAUUUGUAAUGCCUGAGCAGUGUUACAUGAAAUAUUGUAUAGCUAUGAGUCAAAAACAUAAAUUGCUCUAUUUUUUUCCUAUGAAUUUCACUCUCUUAUCAUAACAAAAUAUAUGCUAGCAACAGUUGGGAUAUUAAGUUCCUAUUCUCUUAUUAUUUGAAAAGAAACAGAAACUGUUUCCUUUAGUUCAGCAACAAUAAGAAAGUUUUCUGUGCCAUGAUAGCUUUUACUUAAGGUAAAUUAUAAUUUCAGCCAGAAUACAUUAAAUUCCUACCCAUCAAGUAGCUUUAUUUUUAGCAUGUAUUUUAUGAAUAAUUCUUUAUGAGUUAUGCAAACCUAGGUGAUUCUAUUAAUCAGCUUGAACCUCAAUUAAAUGUUGAUAAAACUGGAAUUAUCCAAAGACAAUUUGAGUGAUCAUUUGAACUUAGUCCUUAUUAUUUGCCUGAUCAUCACAAAUUAGCAUGUGACUAUAUCUAGACACAUAGUAUGUAAGGUCACUAAUGUAUGAGAAACAAAAAAUUAAAGAAGUAUGAUUUGGCUUUAAUAAUUGAUUAGGAUAUAAAACCAAUUUUUAAAUAUUUUCAAAUGCAGUCUAAAAUAAUUAUCUUCAUUUGCCUUGCGAUAUUAAACAGACAUAUUAAACAGGCAUUUCUUUUUGUUUUUCUUCUUAUGGCCUUACCUGCGGCCUAUGGAAGUUCCCAGGCUAGGGGUCAAAUUGGAGGUGCAGCUGCCAGCCUACACCACAGCCAUGGCAGUACCAGAUCUAAGCUACAUCUACGACCUAUGCUUCAGCUUGCGGCAAUGCCAAUCCUUAAUCCACUGAGCCGGGCCAGGGAUCGAACCCGCACACUCACAGACGCUAUGUCGGGUUCUUAACCCACGGAGUCACCACGGGAACUCGUAGACAAACAUUUCUCAAACAUUUAUUUUCUAAGAUGCUUGUGCAAUACUCAUUUUUCUUUUUGUUUCAAAUGAAAUACAUGAAAGAGACAGUUCCACGCAAAUCAUAAUCAAUUCACACUGACAUGAUGGCAUCGACAUUAGCCAUGCCAUAUGCCUGGCUACGAAAAGGAGUGAUGAGUAUGUGCCCCCUGAUUUACUAUGAACCUAUUAAUAAUGCACAUGAAUGGCACAUCCCUGAAAUCUGUGAAUGUACGGAUCCAGUGUUUGACUGAGCACUUUCCUCACCCUCACCAGUUUCCUCACGCCUCUUUUAAUUCUCCACACUGUGGCUACCGCUGCCAGCCAGCGUCCUCAGGCAGUGCACUGAUCUGCACUGCUUCACUCUAGGAUUCUUUGUAUUUUCUAUCAUUUGAUUGAAAUGACAUCACACUCUUCUCGUUGGCCUCUUUCCCUCAGCGUAAUUAUUUCGAGACGUCCAGGUUGUGUGUAUCAACAGUUAUCUUUUUUAUUACUGAGUGGUAUUCUACCCUGCCAUUUGUUUUUCAAUUCAUCUGAUAAUGGACAUUAAAUAUGAUACUAAUACCUUGUCUAGGAACAUGGUGAACAAGACUUUAUGUCAGUGCAAGAUGUAAUUUAUCUCGGGUUAAAUCCCUGGAAGUCAAAUAGUUGCAUCAAGUGUCAGGAGGAUGCUAAACUUAUUACAAAAAACCUUUUUAAAACUACAAAACUGUAAUCCACAGUGUUGUACAAUGUUACAUUCCCAUCAGCAUUAAAUGAAUGUUCCAGUUACUUACUCAAUAGCCUGACAAAAACGAUCAGGCUUUCGAAGUUCAAGACAUUCUAAUAAGUGGAUAUCUCAUUGCAGGUUUAAUGUAUUUGAAAAUCAUUAAAGAAUAAUGAUGUCAAGCAUCUUUUCAUAUGCGUGGUAUGAAAAGCAUAUGAUUUGGUUAAAUGUCUGUUCAAUCCUUUAUCCAUGUUUACUUGGAUUUCUUGUUUAAUUAUUGAGCGUGUGUGUUUUUAAAUAUACUGUGUGCUUAUAAAUUACAAAUAUUUUAUCCUAGUAAAUAACUGGUUUCUUAAUUCUGUCUUUCAAAAAGCGUUUUUUUUAAUUUGGAUGAAAUCCAACAUAAAUAAAACUUACUAAAUAAGAGCAAAUCCUUUAAAAUAUAGAAGGAUGGUUUGACUUAGGCAUUUUUUUCCCCAUUUACAGUGGUACAACAGCCAUAUGCAUUCAGUAGAACAAUACUUUGAAGUUCAAAAGUUAGUCUUUUCCUGAGCUUGUGAUAUGCAGUAACAACUGUUACACUUACAGCCAUUCUGGCCCAUCCAGUCAUUCAGCGUUUCACUUUCAGUAUGAUAUUCAGUAAAUUACUUAAGAUAUUUAACACUUUAUUAUAGAAUGGUCUUUGAGUUUGCCCACCUACAGGCUCAUGUAAAUGUUCUGACGACAUCUAAGUUAGUCUAGGCUAAACCGUGGUGUUGACUCAGUGAGGUAUAUUACACAAAUUAUCAACACACAAUGGGUUUAUCAGAACUUAACCUCGUCUCAGGUUGAGUAAGAUCUGUAUAGUCAAACUUGUUUCAUAUCCUAGACUUCAGUUUAUUAAAAAUAGAUUCUUCGGUUCUCUAUGCUUGUUUCCUGAGCUGUUGUUGACAUACAAAAAAACCUGUACGUACUUACCAUAUUCACCUUGAUGAGUUUAGAGAUCAGUGUAUAUUUGUGAAACUAUCACCACAAACUAUGUCAUAAUGUAGUAUACAUCAGCUAGUGGUAUAUGCAUACAAGGGAAUAAUAUCCAGCCCUACCCAAAAGAAGGAAGUCUUGCCCCUUGCAAUGACAUGAACGGGCCUGGAGAAGGUGAUACUAAAUGAAAAAAGCCAAACACAGAAAGACAAACACUACAUGAUACUACUCAUAUGAGGAUAUAAAAUAGUCCGAAUCAUAGAAGCAGAAAAUGAACCAAUGGUUGUCAGAGGCUGGGGAAAGGGGAAAACAGGGAAUAUUAGUCAAAAUAGAUUCUUAUUCAUCAAAGAAAAAUAAACUAGAAUAUAAUACAAUAAUAUGAUGUACUACCAAAUGGCUUAAAAUGGGAAGCAACAGUAAACAAAACUAAAAAAUAUAAAAUAAAGAAUUAUACAGAAUACUACCAAGACUGUGGAAAAGCUGAAUAGUUCUGGCGUCGCUGGCAGAAGUAUUAAUUGGUAGCAACCCCUUUGAACUACAUUGGAAAAUUCUGGUAAUGUCUGCAAACUGUAACUUCUAUUCCAGCAACUCCUUUCCUACAUAUAAUUCCACACACACACACAAAUGCAUUUGUGUUUGUCCCAAAGGCACAUACUAGAUGGAACGUUUGACAAUAUUUGGGAUGGCAACAAACUGGGAACUCCCUACAUGCUCUUCAUUAGUAUCAGGGCGCCAUCACACCAUGGAAUCCUAGAGACAAUGUGAUAAACACCAGGCAACUGCCCACACCAACGUGAACGAACGAAGGCAGAUGCAGAGCAUGGAGUAUAUGAUCUGAUUGACAGAAUGCACUCAACUCCCCUCUGCUGGUGAAUGUCAGGAGGAGGGGUGGUGACGGAACGAGGGCGCAGAAGAAACAGCUGAGCGGUGGACACGCUCUUCAUCUCCUGGGGCUGGUUAUGCAGGUGUGUUCCCCUUGUGAGCACUCAAAAAGAUGCACAAUGAUCACAAGUACGACUUUCUGUAUAUACUUUAAUAAAAAUAAAUACAAGAACGGAGUAUGGCGGAAAAAUGUUACCCUGGAUAAUGUCCAAGACCGUAAGCAUGGCCCUCCCUUUCACGUUGAACUGCUCAGAAGAAUCUCCGAGGCUGUAUUUUCCUUGCCCUUUUCUUGGGUCUUUCUACGACUGAGUUCAUUGUGCCUCCCAGAGGACAUCUGGCUUGCGGUUCCCUGACUUGCAGUUUUGUGGUUUUCAAGGCAUGUCGUCAAAUUGUCACCCAGUUGAGUUUGUUUCCAGGCAUUCAUUUUGAAUGAGAAAGAAGAUAAUACUUGUGUUCUCAGAAUUCACUAAGAUCUCUUUGGGGGGGGGGGGACAUUUUGAUUUUCUGUAUGUGGGGAACAGAUUGUAUCCAUCACUCCUUUCUUAAACUCACAGUUCUGUUCUCAACUUUUAAAAGGAAAAGAUUUUAAAAACUGGAUAAAAAGAAAAACACACCUUGAUUAAAGGGAUAAUAAAAAAGUAACUUGUGCAAGUAGAGAUUGCUUAUCUGGUUUCUAUCUCUGUAAGAGCUGUUAGUGUACGCGUGGCAGAAGAAGGGCGGCCUUCCCUCGUGGCACAGAGGGUUGAGGUUCUGGCGCUGUCACUGCAGUGGCUCGUGGUCACUGUUGUGACUCUCUUAGCUACUCCGGCAUAUUUUAGAUGGAAGCAGGAUCUUGGUAACCAAAUUCGUGGCUCUGUGGGCAGUCUGUACAGGCCACAACGCAGAGCCAUACGUGCACUAUCUCAAGUAUACAUUUAAUAAACAUGUGGUUGAGGGCUUUCCGGAUGAGCCUGACUAAGCCAACUUCUCCAUUUGAUUUUGGAAACCAGCCUCCUCAAUCUAAAGGCAUAUUGGGCUUUGGAGGUUAACAUUCAUUUAUGAAUUUGUAAUAAAUGAUCUAUUUAUCCAAAAUCCAUUCUGGAAGCUAGCUAGCAUUUACUCAAAUUACAGUUUUUAUAUUCUUGGCAAGGCAUUAGGUUCAUGUGCUUUCACAAAGAAUUAUGAUUUGGUGUUUAGAAAUAGAAGAAUAACUUCUUGACUUUGAUGAAUAAUAGGAAAGAAACAAAAUAAAACUAAUAUAUACAUAUGCCUAUAUAUAUGAAUACACAUAUAUAAUACAUAUUAUAUAUAUAUGUGUGUGAACAAGUUAAAUUACUCAUAAUAUCCAUUAUUUAUCACUUUACAAAUAAGCCUCAUUUGAGGAAGACAAGGAAAGUAAUAUGAGCUAUUUCCAGACCAUAUGGAACUGCAUAAUUUAUUGGAGAUGUUGCCAGAUUCAAGGGAAGUGACUGCGUUUCACAAGCUGGAGAGUCUCUUUCACAAGUGAGAUUACAGAAUGCGUAUACCCAUCUUUAUAUGGCUCUGAGGGUUUCACUGGAUCUGUAUACAAUGACAAUAAUAUGAUGAGGGCCUUUUUUUUCCCAAAGUUUUAAAUACAUAAUGUAGUUCUGCCUUUUUAUUUCUAUUUAAAGUAAAGCUUGUUAUGCCAGACUGUGAGAUGUUUCCAUUUGGUUGAAUCAAUAAGGACAUGACAAUUUUUAUUUUUGCAAGAUGAUAUUUUUUCACAAUUUCCAAACCUCUUUUUCUAAGAGGAGUUAAUUCUUGGAUGGGUUGAUAUUUAAUUCAGGCAUGAGCAAAAAAAAAAAAAAAAAAAAAAAAAA